AUGUCAACUGCUGUCCCAACCGAAAGUAGUAAGCCUAAGAGGAGGAAUGCUCGUGGGAAUCGGACUGACCCUGGCUGGGAACAUGGAGAAGAAGUUGAUGCUGAGAAGAGGACAACAAGAUGCAAAUAUUGCCUUCUAGUUAAAGGUGGAGGUGUCUACAGACUGAAGCAUCACUUGGCUGGGACAAGGUUUAAUGUCGAGCCUUGCGAAAAAGUUCCCGAUGAUGUUCGAAAAAAGUUUCUCAAACUUCUGGGGGUCCAAGCAGAGAAGAAUGAUGCAAAGAAGAGGAAGUUUAACACAGAAAUGGAGGAGACGGGUGCAUGUUCGAAGGAGAAUACUCCUGCUGAUAACAAUGAAGAUGAGGCUGCGACAAAUCGUUUCGCUAACAAGCGCAGAGCCCAAACAACGGUGAAUCAGUUUUACAAGAAAGAAGAGAGAGAAGAGGUUUGUGCUCAAAUUUGUCGGGUCUUCUAUACCAAUUCUAUCUCAUUUAAUGUUGUCAAGGACCCAGAAUUUAUAAAGAUGAUUGAAAUGAUUGGAAACUUUGGUAAAGGUUUUAAACCUCCAUCAUAUCAUGAAGUGAGGGUAAAAUUUCUCAAGCUGGAAGUUAAGAGAACAAUGAAUUUGCUCUCUGAAUACAAAGAAGAGUGGAAAAAGACAGGAUGUACAAUUAUGUCUGAUGGAUGGACAGAUAAAAAGAAAAGGUCCAUCUGCAACUUUUUAGUGAAUAGCCCCAAAGGUACUGUCUUUCUCGCCUCAGUCGAUACUUCUGACAUUUCCAAGACAGCGGACAAAGUGUUUGAAAUGUUAGAUGAUAUUGUUGAGCAAGUAGGAGAAGAUAAUGUUGUUCAAAUUGUAACGGACAAUGCCGCUAACUAUAAAGCAGCUGGUGAGCUAUUGAUGGAAAAGAGGAAAAAAUUAUUUUGGACUCCAUUUGCAGCUCAUUGUAUUGAUUUAAUUCUUGAGGAUUUUGAAAAGAAAAUUAAGAUGCAUCAGACAACCAUUACAAAGGGCAGAAAAAUCACCACGUAUAUUUAUUCUAGAGCAAUGGUUAUUUCUUGGUUGAGAGAGUUCACUGGAGGGAAGGAUUUAGUUAGGCCAGCAGUGACAAGAUUUGCUACUGCCUAUUUGACUUUGGGUUGUUUGCAUGAGCACAAGGGCGCAUUAAUCAAUAUGUUCACUUCAACAAAGUGGAGGGGUAGUAGAUUUAAUUCUGCAGAAGGGAAGGUCGUUCAAGGAAUUGUUUUGGAUAGCCGUGGGUUUUGGCCUAAUGUUGCCACAUGUCUGAAGGCUGCACUCCCAAUUAUAAAAGUUCUUCGAUUGGUGGAUUCAGAUGAGAAGCCAGCAAUGCCGUUCAUCUAUGAUGAGAUGGAUCGUGCAAAAGAUAAAAUAAAGCAAAAUUUUAACAAUGUGAAGAAAAGCUACAAUCCAAUAUUUAAUAUAAUUGAUGAGAGAUGGCGUACACAACUUCAUAGGCCUUUGCAUGCUGCUGCAUAUUAUUUGAAUCCACAAUGCCACUAUAGUGAUAAUUUCAAGCCGGCUGAAGUAAAACGUGGCCUGUACACUUGUCUUGAAAAGAUGGUUCCAGAUUUAGAUGAAAGAAUCAAGAUAGAUCUGCAGAUUGAUUCAUUUAGGAGUGCCGAGGGCCUAUUUGGAAUGCAAUCGGCUAUUAUGACAAGAACAAAAAAAAGCCAGCUGAUUGGUGGGAUUCGUAUGGAGAUGAUUGCCCUGAGUUGCAGAGGUUUGCAAUCAGAGUACUGA
RNAcentral lists this ribosomal RNA (1761 nucleotides) under Triticum aestivum (bread wheat). Its description in RNAcentral is "partial small subunit ribosomal RNA". The record is from RNAcentral. Lineage: Eukaryota; Viridiplantae; Streptophyta; Magnoliopsida; Poales; Poaceae.